UACGUAGGGAGCAAGCGUUGUUCGGAUUUAUUGGGCGUAAAGAGCGUGUAGGCGGUUUGGUAGGUCCGCUGUGAAAACUCGAGGCUCAACCUCGAGCUGUCGGCGGAAACCAUCUGGCUAGAGUCCGGAAGAGGAGAGUGGAAUUCCUGGUGUAGCGGUGAAAUGCGCAGAUAUCAGGAAGAACACCUAUGGCGAAGGCAGCUCUCUGGGACGGUACUGACGCUGAGACGCGAAAGCGUGGGGAGCGAACAGG
Molecule: ribosomal RNA, 253 nt
Filed under: uncultured bacterium
Lineage: Bacteria
Description: partial 16S ribosomal RNA
Rfam family: Bacterial small subunit ribosomal RNA
Source: RNAcentral